GUCUAGGAUUAGGGUUUAGGGUAUAAGGUUUGAGUUUAGGGGUUUGACUUUGGGUUUUGAGUUUAGGGUAUAGGGUUUAGAAUUUAAGAUUUAGGGCUUAGGGUUUCGCUGGAAGCGUUAGCGUCGUUAAAAUUAGCGUUUUUAUUUUUUGUAGCUAUUUUUUAUUUAAUUUAAUAUUUUUAAUUAAUAAUUUAUGUGUCACUUUGAUUGGUAAAAGGUGGAGUGAAUUUAACCUAAGUUUUGUUCUUUUUAAAAACAUUAUUUCUUCUGAAGGCUCUCAAAUUAAAGGAUAACUAGUAUUGCAAUUUUCCUAGAUUAGUUAGCAUUUUUUAAUGUAAAAAU
Molecule: long non-coding RNA, 342 nt
Filed under: Brassica napus (rape)
Lineage: Eukaryota; Viridiplantae; Streptophyta; Magnoliopsida; Brassicales; Brassicaceae
Description: long non-coding RNA (BNAP_LNC026323)
Source: RNAcentral